RNAcentral lists this ribosomal RNA (301 nucleotides) under uncultured bacterium. RNAcentral describes it as "partial 16S ribosomal RNA". It matches the Rfam family "Bacterial small subunit ribosomal RNA", at positions 509 to 809 of the family's 1533-position model. The record is from RNAcentral.
CAGUCGCCACGGGAAUACGUAGGUGGCAAGCGUUGUCCGGAAUUAUUGGGCGUAAAGGGCUCGCAGGCGGUUUCUUAAGUCUGAUGUGAAAGCCCCCGGCUCAACCGGGGAGGGUCAUUGGAAACUGGGAAACUUGAGUGCAGAAGAGGAGAGUGGGAUUCCACGUGUAGCGGUGAAAUGCGUAGAGAUGUGGAGGAACACCAGUGGCGAAGGCGACUCUCUGGUCUGUAACUGACGCUGAGGAGCGAAAGCGUGGGGAGCGAACAGGAUUAGAUACCCCAGUAGUCCCUGUCUCUUAUAU